CAGCUCAGCCCCAGUUGGCCUGCUGGGCUCAGCACGCCGCAAGGGCUCACAUGGGGAACAUGGUCAGGGCCCUCGUGGCCUUCAUCCCUGCUGACCGCUGCCAGAACUACGUGGUGGGCGACCUCCAAGAGAUGCCCCGGGACAAGAUGGUGGAUCUGAGCGGGAACCAGAUGCGCCGCUUCCCUGGCCACGUUUGCUCCUUCCGGGAGCUGGUCAAGCUCUACCUGAGCGACAACCACCUCACCAACCUGCCUCCAGAGCUGGGGCAGCUGCAGAAGCUGCAGAUCCUGGCCUUGGAUUUCAAUAACUUCAAGACUCUGCCCCAGGUGGUCUGUACCUUACAGCACCUCUGCAUCCUCUACCUGGGCAACAACAAACUCUGCGACCUCCCCUGGGAGCUGAGCCAGCUGCAGAACCUCCAGACCCUGUGGCUUGAGGCCAACUGCCUCACCCAGCUGCCAGAGGUGGUCUGUGAGCUGAGGCUCCUCCGGACACUGCACGUGGGCUCCAACGCUCUGUGCGUGCUGCCAGGCCAGCUCCAGCGCCUCCAGGAGCUACGGACCAUCUGGCUCUCCAGCAACCUGCUGACCGACUUCCCCCCGGUGCUGCUGCACAUGCCCUUCCUGGAGGUGAUUGAUGUGGACCGGAACAGGAUUCGGUACUUCCCCAGCCUGGCUCAUUUGUCAAGUCUGAAGCUGGUCAUCUAUGACCACAACCCCUGCAGAAACGCACCCAAGGUGGCCAAAGGUGUGCGCCGCGUGGGAAGGUGGGCGGAGGAGACCCCAGAGCCUGACCCCAGGAAAGCCAGACGCUACGCACUCACGAUGGACGACAUCCCGGAGCCACCAGCAGCUGCCCCUGCUCCUUCACCGCCUCCUGCCAACUCCUGAGGGCGAUUAUAGGUUAAUGCCCAAGACCCAAAUCCAGCCUCUUCUGGAAGAUCUCUCACCGGGAGUGGAAGAUUCCUCUCAGCCACAGGGAGCUGAGAGAGGGCCAGGUGAAAUGCUACAAAUCACUUGGAGAAGGAAAAACUGGUCAACAGCCUGUCUCUCAAAGGAAUGUCGUGCUAUUGGCACCAUGACAAUCUGGAAUGAUCAUCACUUCUUUGGAAGCAAGUCUGCUUCUGCAAGCAGCUCUUUUGGAACCCUGGAGACCAGGAAGGGCUGGAGGGAUGCUGUGCUCUCCUCCGGUCCUCAGAAAUGCGGGUCAUGAGGCUGGGGAGCUCCUCAAACAGGCACUUCUAAAAAGCAGCUAACAAAUGGCAUUCGUCUUGGCAUCCCAAGCCUACUCCGGCCCCAGCAGGUUUCUUCAGUGCUGGCUGUUACACAGCCACACAGCCAGGCCACAGGGCAGAAGGGUAACACCUGAGGAGGAGCACUCUGGCUGGUCGAGCACCAUCUUCAUGGUCUUGUCAACUUAUGGAAACUUUUCUGCACCUCUUUAAAGAAAACUUUGGUGAGGACACCACCACUUUUCUCAUUUUCUAAGCUACUUUGGAGAACUCUUACACCCACCCAACUGCUGUCGGCUCUACACUACCACUUAAAGGUGCUCUGCCUGGGUGUCACACGCUGCCAUGCCAGUGCUUCCCAAAUCUGUGCCACAAGCUGCAAACACACUCGGUACGUACCAAAAUGAGACUAGUCCUUGUAACUCCAGGAGCUUGUCCUACAAGUUGGCCCUGGGAUCCACCCUCUAGAAUGAAGUCGUACCAAAUGAAACCCUUUUUGAUUGUAAACUGAUAAGGAUUUUGUUGCGUCACGUUUGUCAAGUAUUUUUCUUCCAGAAAUCUUUCAUCAUUCACUUUUACCAAAAAGAGGAAACCACUCAACAUGCCAAAAAUCUUAGGUAAGGACCAAGAAAAAGUUUAGAAAUGACUCAGUUAUUGCCAACUCACCUUUCCAUGUCGUUUAGUUUUUAAGAAAAGGAGUCAAGGCCACUGAAUAUACCCUGAAAACUACUGCAUCUUGGUACAAUCAGAGGGGCUAUUUUGACUUAAAUGUUACGUACAUGGUAGC
Molecule: RNA transcript, 2018 nt
Organism: Echinops telfairi (small Madagascar hedgehog)
Lineage: Eukaryota; Metazoa; Chordata; Mammalia; Afrosoricida; Tenrecidae
Gene: LRRC10
Gene name: leucine rich repeat containing 10
Exons: 3
Source: RefSeq, a predicted model, not a curated record